ACCUUACUCUUCUCGUCAGGGUAGAGUACAUGGGUCGACUGAAGAGUGAUCUGCUGUCAAUUUGGUGGGGCUUCACUGAGACCCC
Molecule: non-coding RNA, 85 nt
Organism: Chelonoidis abingdonii (Abingdon island giant tortoise)
Lineage: Eukaryota; Metazoa; Chordata; Testudines; Testudinidae
Source: RefSeq, a predicted model, not a curated record